ACCGGCAGCUCAAGUGGUGGCCAUUUUUAUUGGGCCUAAAGCGUUCGUAGCCGGUUUGAUAAGUCUCUGGUGAAAUCUCACGGCUUAACCGUGAGAAUUGCUGGAGAUACUAUUAGACUUGAGGCCGGGAGAGGUUAGCGGUACUCCCAGGGGUAGGGGUGAAAUCUUUUAUCCCUGGGAGACCAACCGGUGCGGAGGGGGGUAACUGGGACGGGACCUGCGGUGAGUAACGAAAGCCAGGGGCGCGAACCG
RNAcentral lists this ribosomal RNA (252 nucleotides) under uncultured prokaryote. RNAcentral describes it as "partial 16S rRNA". It matches the Rfam family "Archaeal small subunit ribosomal RNA", at positions 475 to 726 of the family's 1478-position model. The record is from RNAcentral.